AUUUCCAGUGGAUGCAAUAGUGCUGACCAUGUGCACGUGGGGUCAGGAUCUCAGGCCCGCCAGCUGGGCUGCAGCGAGUACCCGUGGCCUCAGGGAAAAGGUCCCCUGCUGCAGGCUGUGGGGGACCUCGGCUCUCACAGUGGCUGUGCCUGAGAAAGCCCCUCCAGACUCGCCAGCCUGGCCCGUGUGUCCUGUCCAGACGGCAGUGUGGGGCUGGUGCUGGUUACAGAUGAUCCUCAAGGAGACAGCACGCAGGCCACCAGGCGCCCCUCCUGCAGCUGGGACAGAGAGAGGCACAGGGAGCCUGGCUCCCUCCAGGUCAGGCUCCACGAGGGCCAACCUAGCGACCCGCGGGAGACGAAGGCAGAUGAGGAGCGGCCCUGCCCCCAAGGGCGCAUCGUGCAGGUGGCCCAAGGGGGUCAUCUGCAUCCUGGUUAAGGGGGAGCCCACCUGCCUCCCCCAGGUCAGGAACACUCCCUGGAAGCCAUGGUGUGGAGCGUCCACCCUGGCUUCGUCCUCCAGCUCAGCUGCUGGGCCCUGGGAAGGGACAGGCCCAGCACCCGUUUAGCCAGGCUGAGCUGCAGGCAGAGCACCCUGCCUAGGAGAGACAAACCCACUGCUGAGGACACACCCUCAAGGUUCGCCCUUCCCCACUUCUGUGUUGCCCUUAGCUCUAAGGUGCUAAUUCCAUCUCUGGUUUCAACAGGCCGAUCGCUCUUAAGGGAAAAUGGGAUUGCACAAUCCGGCUGUGGUGGCCGGGGCUCUUGGUCUCCCCCCAGUAAGAGGAUGGACUUUCCAGCCCUGCUGAUGGUCAGCGGGGACCACAUGGAGGCUUUGGCGGAUGAAAUGGGGCACAAUGACAUAGCUCUGCCCCAGCGGAAGCGUCAGAGCCAUGGCUGGGCUCCACCAGGUUUGCUCCAGCGGCCAUGAGGACCAUGCCCCACAGGCAGGGGCUGCACCUCCACCCUGGUUCCAGAAGGAAGAGGCACAGCCAACAUGCCGCUCGAGCAGGAAACCCUGGGGAAGGUGGGACGUGAGAUCCUGUAUCUGAUACUACAGUGUAACUGGCUAGAAACUGACUCAAAGGGGCACUUUUACAGCAGAAAGAGACGAAGCACACGUGCACCUGCCAUCUUGUGACUGUCAGGCCCCGUCUAGGCGUGGACAGCUCCAUGGUUGUGUUUGAGCCCCACACUGGCCCUGGGGGGUUAUACUGCCCUGGAGGACAGCUGACCUCAAUUCUCCAAGCUUCCAUUCCCCCUUGUAUGGGCACAGCACCCCAACCUUCUUUUGGCAGCUCCCACGCCCCCCAGUGCUGGUGGGCUCUAGGGCUCUGGUCCCUGAUGCUCAGAGGUACAGAGACAGCAUUCAUCAGGGGCUCUGAUCCUCUGGCCCAGUUCAGAUUGUGGUGGGGCCUCAGGACCUUUCCAGAACCUUAGAAGUGGGCAGCACCCUUUGCUGGGACAGACAUGCCUGGAACUCCGGGCAUCGAGCCACUGCUGGGAUAAGCCCACGACAGAAUGAAGUCAGGCAGGCAGAGAGAGCUGCAGGCUGCCUGGCCACUCCUGUUUCCAUGAAGGGCCUGGUGUCUCAUUUCCUACUUACUUUGCACUUUAAGGGCCUCCCGCGGCCUUUGUCACACAUUCUUCUUGUUUUUUGUCCAUUGCAACCUUUUACGGUGGCACAAGCCAUUGUUCUCAAGGCCAACGCGUGAGUCCUGCGGUGAGUUUCCUAUUUGUGUGGCUCGAGAAGGUACCCGGUGCCGACGAAGCCUGGAGAGGCAGGGCCACACUGCAGAGCCUCGGGCCAAGGGUGGCCGUGCUGGGGCAGGGCCCCUCACAUUGGCCUCAUGUGCCCAGAGUUCACUGCCCACCAGGCGGCAUCAGCCUGCGGCUUUGGCGCCCAGAAGUCCUGAAGGGCAGCAAAGUCUCCUGCUCCUGGCUGCUGGCCAGGAGAGCCCAGCUGGGCCCCACCUGAUCAAGAAGAAACGCCUGUGUCCUCUAAUCAGCAUCUCAGUGACAGAGUCACCCCUGGUACAGCAAGUGGGCUUUCAAGGACAUCAGGUGGCUGCGUUCAGGCUGGUACCAACUCCACCCUCAGCUCUCACAGUCUGAGGAAGCCCCCUGAAAAGCCACCGGAGUGGGGCCACAGGUCCCCAUAAAGGCCUUUCCUGCUCCUGAAUAAUUCCCAAGCACCUAGGACUUCCCGGGCCUGGCUCCCCCACCAGCCCAACCUCCGGACCUGAAGACCAAGCAGUGGCCAAAUGUGAGGUCCCUGGAGAAGGAGGAGGAAGAGUGGAAGGGGGUGGAGGGUAACGCAACCAGAGGAAGACGCUGAGGGUCAGACUGGCCCCGGGUCUGACCUGUCGUUGGGAUCAACUACUUUAUUAAAAAACAUCCACCUAAACUGUAGAGACAGAGGAAGGAUCAGUGCUUGCCAAGGGCUGGGGGAGGAGGAACAGGCAGAGCGCAGAGGGUUUCAAGGCAGUGCCGCUCUGCGUGACACCAUCACAGAGGGUCCAGGUCAUCACACGUCUCUCCAAACCCCUAGAAUGCCCAACACUGACUCUGAAGCCUUAUGUCAGUGCAGGAUCAUCUGUUGUAAAGUCUGCACCGCUGUGGUGGGGGCGUGGAUAGUGGGGGAGGCUGUGCGUGUGUGGGGGCAGGGAGUGUAUGGGAAAUCUCUGUACCGUCCGCUCAAUUUGGCUGCGAACCUAAACUGCUCUAAAAAAAGUCUAUUUUUGAAAAGCAUAUGCCCGAAAAGUCCUUGAAAAUGCAUCUUUCCCUAAGUAUUCAAAUUUAUGUUCAUUAAUAAAAUAGCACAUAUUUAUUCU
Molecule: long non-coding RNA, 2833 nt
Filed under: Pongo abelii (Sumatran orangutan)
Lineage: Eukaryota; Metazoa; Chordata; Mammalia; Primates; Hominidae
Description: lincRNA
Source: RNAcentral